GCCCCUGUAUUCCAACCGGCAGAGAAGAUGGUCUCAAACACCAUACAGUGUGGGUUCGAAUCCCACCGGGGGCACCA
This 77-nucleotide transfer RNA is filed under the name Actinoplanes sp. RNAcentral's name for it is "tRNA-Leu". It matches the Rfam family "tRNA". Rfam says of the family: Transfer RNA (tRNA) molecules are approximately 80 nucleotides in length. Lineage: Bacteria; Bacillati; Actinomycetota; Actinomycetes; Micromonosporales; Micromonosporaceae. The record is from RNAcentral. RNAcentral also lists the same sequence under 6 other names.